Molecule: unclassified non-coding RNA, 433 nt
Filed under: soil metagenome
Description: partial contains 5.8S ribosomal RNA, internal transcribed spacer 2, and large subunit ribosomal RNA
Rfam family: 5.8S ribosomal RNA (bases 1-120)
Source: RNAcentral
GAUGAAGAACGUAGCGAAAUGCGAUACGUAAUGUGAAUUGCAGAAUUCAGUGAAUCAUCGAAUCUUUGAACGCAUAUUGCGCUCUCUGGUAUUCCGGAGAGCAUGCUUGUUUGAGUAUCAGUAAACACCUCAACUUCCAUAUCUUUUUUGAAAUGGGAGUUGGACUUGAGUGAUCCCAACGCUUUUCCUCACCGAAAAGUGGCGGGUUACUUGAAAUGCAGGUGCAGCUGGACUUUUCUCUGAGAUAUAAUCAUAUCUAUUUAGUCUGCCUAAAAAACAGAUUAUUACCUUUGCUGCAGCUAACAUAAAGGAGAUUAGUUCUUGUGCUGACUGAUGCAGGAUUCACAAAGACAGGCUUCGGCCGACUUUGUAAACUCGAUCUCAAAUCAAGUAAGACUACCCGCUGAACUUAAGCAUAUCAAUAAGCGGAGGA